UAAUAUUGUCACUGCAGCUCAUGCUCAGGAUGUGACUGAUCUUCCUGUGUCAACUCGGAUGCAAAUUUUGACAGUACUACAGAAAAUAAGACCUUACUUGGCUGAGAGAAGCAUUCUGGAAAGCAUAUAUAAGAGUGGGAAUCCAGGUCAUUUUUUCACAUUUAUAUCACCAAAGGAAUUAUUGGAGAUACAAAAGAAGCUGAGGGGCACCCUAUCAGAUGUUUCUUUUGAGCACUUUGCACAGGACUUCAGUGGACUACCACAAAAUACACUUUCAGUUCUCCUGGGGAGUAUCAGAUCUAAGAUAUUAGAGAGAAAUGAUUCUUG
Molecule: long non-coding RNA, 327 nt
Organism: Schistocerca piceifrons (Central American locust)
Lineage: Eukaryota; Metazoa; Arthropoda; Insecta; Orthoptera; Acrididae
Exons: 3
Source: RefSeq, a predicted model, not a curated record